This 910-nucleotide ribosomal RNA is filed under the name uncultured bacterium. RNAcentral's name for it is "bacterial SSU rRNA". It matches the Rfam family "Bacterial small subunit ribosomal RNA", at positions 33 to 934 of the family's 1533-position model. The record is from RNAcentral.
ACGCUAGCUACAGGCUUAACACAUGCAAGUCGAGGGGAAACGGCAUUGAGUGCUUGCACUCUUUGGACGUCGACCGGCGCACGGGUGAGUAACGCGUAUCCAACCUUCCCAUUAUUGUGGGGUAACCUGCCGAAAGGCAGACUAAUACCGCAUAGUCUUCGAUGACGGCAUCAGAUUUGAAGUAAAGAUUUAUCGGUAAUGGAUGGGGAUGCGUCUGAUUAGCUUGUUGGCGGGGUAACGGCCCACCAAGGCGACGAUCAGUAGGGGUUCUGAGAGGAAGGUCCCCCACAUUGGAACUGAGACACGGUCCAAACUCCUACGGGAGGCAGCAGUGAGGAAUAUUGGUCAAUGGACGGAAGUCUGAACCAGCCAAGUAGCGUGCAGGAUGACGGCCCUAUGGGUUGUAAACUGCUUUUGUAUGGGGAUAAAGUUAGGGACGUGUCCCUAUUCGCAGGUACCAUACGAAUAAGGACCGGCUAAUUCCGUGCCAGCAGCCGCGGUAAUACGGAAGGUCCAGGCGUUAUCCGGAUUUAUUGGGUUUAAAGGGAGCGUAGGCUGGAGAUUAAGUGUGUUGUGAAAUGUAGACGCUCAACGUCUGAAUUGCAGCGCAUACUGGUUUCCUUGAGUACGCACAACGUUGGCGGAAUUCGUCGUGUAGCGGUGAAAUGCUUAGAUAUGACGAAGAACUCCGAUUGCGAAGGCAGCUGACGGGAGCGCAACUGACGCUUAAGCUCGAAGGUGCGGGUAUCAAACAGGAUUAGAUACCCUGGUAGUCCGCACAGUAAAUGAUGGAUGCCCGCUGUUGGUACCUGGUAUCAGCGGCUAAGCGAAAGCAUUAAGCAUCCCACCUGGGGAGUACGCCGGCAACGGUGAAACUCAAAGGAAUUGACGGGGGCCCGCACAAGCGGAG